RNAcentral lists this ribosomal RNA (253 nucleotides) under uncultured bacterium. RNAcentral describes it as "partial 16S ribosomal RNA". It matches the Rfam family "Bacterial small subunit ribosomal RNA", at positions 524 to 776 of the family's 1533-position model. The record is from RNAcentral.
UACGUAGGGCGCAAGCGUUAUCCGGAAUUAUUGGGCGUAAAGAGCGUGUAGGCGGCCAGACAGGUCCGUUGUGAAAACUCGAGGCUCAACCUCGAGACGUCGACGGAAACCGUCUGGCUAGAGUCCGGAAGAGGAGUGUGGAAUUCCUGGUGUAGCGGUGAAAUGCGCAGAUAUCAGGAAGAACACCUAUGGCGAAGGCAGCACUCUGGGACGGUACUGACGCUGAGGAGCGAAAGCGUGGGGAGCGAACAGG